CUUCUCCCUCUCUCUCAUCCGUUUCCUUCUCUCUCCGGAAGUCGCCGGAAAUCGCCGCCGCAGCCGGUCUCCGCCGUCGCCGGAAUCCCAAUCCUCACCAAAAUUUCCAGAUUUUCUUCUCUUCCUUCCCUCUUUCCAUUUCUCCAACCAAAACCAAGAAAUUUGGCCAUCCAACCCUCCAAAAACCCUAGAACCCGAAGCUAAAUUGGGGCUUUUUGUGAUUUCUUCUUUCCAAGCUUAAAUCAAGGCUAUGGGUUUGGCAAGGAUUUUUGGUGAAGAAGGCCAAGGAGAAGGAAUAGGACGUGAUUUUUGAAGAAGAAAGGGUUACAACGAGGUCAUUCCGGAUGAUUUGGAUUAGAAGUUGGUCGUUGGCCGAGUUCGUGUGUUGCCGUUCCUGUUGCUUGAAGUUCUUCCCUUUUGGUAUUCCAUCGAUUUACUCGUUUUUCAUUCCAUGUUGAACCCUGUGAGGUCCGCCUACCUGGGAGCGCGCCUCACCCCCUUGUUUUAUUGUUAUUGUUGAACUCCUUUCAUUUCAGUUAUGAUGUAAGCCCCAAGGCGCCACAAUGCA
Molecule: long non-coding RNA, 568 nt
Organism: Rosa chinensis
Lineage: Eukaryota; Viridiplantae; Streptophyta; Magnoliopsida; Rosales; Rosaceae
Exons: 4
Source: RefSeq, a predicted model, not a curated record